Molecule: ribosomal RNA, 160 nt
Filed under: uncultured bacterium
Lineage: Bacteria
Description: partial 16S ribosomal RNA
Rfam family: Bacterial small subunit ribosomal RNA
Source: RNAcentral
UAGGGAAUCUUCCACAAUGGACGCAAGUCUGAUGGAGCAACGCCGCGUGAGUGAAGAAGGUUUUCGGAUCGUAAAGCUCUGUUGUUGGUGAAGAAGGACAUGGGUAGUAACUGAUCUAUGUUUGACGGUAAUCAACCAGAAAGUCACGGCUAACUACGUG